Long non-coding RNA from Peromyscus californicus insignis, 1448 nucleotides. RefSeq lists it as uncharacterized. The transcript has 2 exons. NCBI's taxonomy places the organism in Eukaryota, Metazoa, Chordata, Mammalia, Rodentia, Cricetidae. The record is from RefSeq and is a predicted model, not a curated record.
UCAGGCUCUGGCCAAUGAAUGGGCGAUGGGGCUGGAGUGCGGCUCCUUGAUAAUACCUGCCUUGUGAGACUCCCGACUAGGGCGUGAGAGUGAUCGAGCACACAGGGGCACUUGUCCUUUGGAACCAUUUGGGAGGAAACUUGGAGAGCAUGUGCCUGCAGCGCUGGAAGCUCAGUCCGUACAAGAUACACUUCACCGAGGAGCAGCUUGGGCUGGUAAACUAGGUGGUCUAGCAUGGUGCUGUAACUGAUGGCCAGAAGCACAAGUGGUUAGACACGGAGGGUUCCCACUGGGAGGAAUGUGAGCCUGUAGGGUCUCCUUUCCUCGGGGGUGGGGGUGGGGAGGGCAGGCCUGCAUCCUUCCCUCUGCCCCAGGGCCCUGUUUUGGUACUCUGCGUUCUCGGCGCCCUCCCUUCACCAAGCUCUACUCCUAAGUCCCUUUUGCUGAGAACGAAGCUGUUCCUUCUGUUCCCGUCACAACUCUGAGGACUCCUACUUGGUGCCUGCUCUCUUCAGGCCCCAUUUGAGGUGUCUGCCCUGCCUAGGAAGGGGGGGCAGAGGGAGGGCAAGAACCUGGAGUCCAAGGAUGAGGGCAGGAAGUGUGGGGGGUGAGGUGGCUGGAGGGCAGAUGAGCAGCAGAUGGCUAGAAGAACAGCAGCAACGAAAGUCAGCAUGCUUAUCAUUUGCUAUGAAGGUUGCCGCACGGAGAUAAUACUUCUUCCAUACAGAAAUGAUUUCAAGUAAGAAUGUUAAAGUAGCAAUAAAGCAGGCUUACGGCCUGGGUAUAUAUGCCCUUGGGUAUGACUUACCCCUCUAUUGCACAGUUCCUGGACCUCAGAAGUAAAAAAUUAACUUUUGUUUUUAGUGAAGCUAUCCUAACUUCCUGAGUCUGUGUGAUCUAGACUUUUACCUUAUCAACUGUAAUCUUGUUAAGGAUGCAGUGGUCACCACCCUGUGAUCUCAUUUAAAUUUCUUAGCAAGACCUUGAAGUUAAUAAUUUUGUAACUCACAAAAACUGUACCUGUGGCUAUUGUCAAGAUAAAUGAAACGUUACUCUUCUUUGAGAAGCCCACUUUGACAAGUCCUGGUUGGUUCAUUUUUUUUUUGUUUGUUGUUUUAUUUUGUUUUUGUCAACUUGAUACAACUAAAGUCUUCUGAGAACAGAGAACCUCAACAGAGAAAACUCUUCCAUUGGGUUGGCCCAUAGGCAAACCUGUGGGUCAUGUUCUUGACUGAUGGUUGAUAUGGGAGAGCACAGCUCAGUGUGGGUGGUGCCCCCACUGGCCUGGUGGGCCUGGAGUGUGUAAGCAAACUGAGGAGGAGCAAGCCAGUAAGCAGCACUCCUCCCUGGCUUCUGCUUCAGCUCCUGCUUCCAAGGUUCUGCUCUGACUUGCUUUGAUGAUGGACUAUGAGAUGGAAUGCAAGCCAAAUAAACCCUUUCCUCCCCAA